Molecule: long non-coding RNA, 808 nt
Filed under: Elaeis guineensis (African oil palm)
Lineage: Eukaryota; Viridiplantae; Streptophyta; Magnoliopsida; Arecales; Arecaceae
Description: long non-coding RNA (EGUI_LNC073874)
Source: RNAcentral
CUUGAGAAGAGGUUGAUUGUUGAUUGAAGAUCUCUUGAAAGCUUUGAACGAUCUUUAGAUCAAGGUUGAAAACAAUAGGCGUGAAGAAUUCUCUCCUUGAAAGCUCUUGCUUUUCUCUUUCACAAUCUCUCUGGUAUAUUGUGGAUCCUCUCUCUUUUUCUUUUUGGAUAUUUUGUUGAUCUCAGACUUUUUCGUGCAGAUUUCGGAUCCUCUCUUCUGUUCUUUUCAUUUUUGAUUUCACGUUUGAUCCGCUAUUUAAUCUGUAAUUUUUUUCACCAUUUUAAGCAUUUUGUAGCAUUAGAAGCAAGAGAAAACAAUUUAGGUAGAUAAAGAGCCAUUAGAGCAAUUUUAGGAAGCAUAAAUGGUAAUUAAAAUGGGCAAAAAAAUAGCCGUUGCUGACAUUUCCCGUCGCAGGGAUCGACUCAUGAGUCGACUCAUGCUUCAGGGGUCGACUCAUGAGUCGACCUCUGUUGCAAAAACCAGAGAAUGCGUUUCUGGAAAUUUUUGGCUCAAAUUAGCAGGGGUCGACUCAUGAGUCGACUCAUGCCUUGUGGGUCGACUCAUGAGUCGACUCACAGGUCGUGCCAAGUCAAAAAUCUAGCGUGCCAUGGGAAUUUUUUGCGUGCCAAACAGCUCACAGUGCCAUGAGUUGACUCAUGAGUCGACUCAUGCACUUCAAACCUUCAUAACUUCAAAAAUAUAAGUCCAAAUACAAUAAAAUUUUCACCAUUAGUUUACAAAUCAUUUGUUCUAUCAAAUGAUACUAUCAAAUCAGGAUUUAAGUGAAAUUAUGAUUUUGCCCUUGAAG